GAGUUGUUAGCUCAGCUGGUUUAGAGCGCUACCUUGACAGGGUAGAGGUCACAGGUUCGAACCCCGUACAACUCACCA
RNAcentral lists this transfer RNA (78 nucleotides) under Chitinophagales bacterium. RNAcentral's name for it is "tRNA-Val". It matches the Rfam family "tRNA". From Rfam's summary of the family: Transfer RNA (tRNA) molecules are approximately 80 nucleotides in length. Lineage: Bacteria; Pseudomonadati; Bacteroidota; Chitinophagia; Chitinophagales. The record is from RNAcentral.